This 497-nucleotide ribosomal RNA is filed under the name uncultured bacterium. RNAcentral describes it as "partial 16S ribosomal RNA". It matches the Rfam family "Bacterial small subunit ribosomal RNA", at positions 28 to 507 of the family's 1533-position model. The record is from RNAcentral.
GAUGAACGCUGGCGGCGUGCCUAAUACAUGCAAGUCGAGCGAACAGACUAGGACCUUGCUCCUCUGUCGCUAGCGGCGCACGGGCGAGUAACACAUGGAUAACCUACCUACAAAACUGGGACAACUUCGGGAAACCGGCGCUAAUACCGGAUAAUAUAUUGAACCGCAUGGUUCAAUAGUGAAAGACGGUUUUGCUGUCACUUAUCGAUGGAUCACCGCCGCAUUAGCUAGUUGGUAAGGUAACGGCUUACCAAGGCAACGAUGCGUAGCCGACCUGAGAGGGUGCUCGGCCACACGGGAACUGGGACACGCUCCAGACUCCUAUGGGAGGGAACAGUAGGGAAUCUUCAGCAAUGGGCGCAAGCCUGACGGAGCAACGCCGCGUGCGUGAUGAAGGUCUUCGGCUCGUAAAACUCUGUUAUUAGGGCAGAACAAAUGUGUAAGUACCUAUGCACAUCUUGACGGUACCUUAUCAGAAAGCCACGGCUAACUACGUG